GACGAACGCUGGCGGCGUGCUUAACACAUGCAAGUCGAACGGAAAGGCCCUGCUUUUGUGGGGUGCUCGAGUGGCGAACGGGUGAGUAACACGUGAGUAACCUGCCCUUGACUUUGGGAUAACUUCAGGAAACUGGGGCUAAUACCGGAUAGGAGCUCCUGCUGCAUGGUGGGGGUUGGAAAGUUUCGGCGGUUGGGGAUGGACUCGCGGCUUAUCAGCUUGUUGGUGGGGUAGUGGCUUACCAAGGCUUUGACGGGUAGCCGGCCUGAGAGGGUGACCGGCCACAUUGGGACUGAGAUACGGCCCAGACUCCGACGGGAGGCAGCGGUGGGGAAUAUUGCACAAUGGGCGGAAGCCUGAUGCAGCAACGCCGCGUGCGGGAUGACGGCCUUCGGGUUGUAAACCGCUUUCGCCUGUGACGAAGCGUGAGUGACGGUAAUGGGUAAAGAAGCACCGGCUAACUACGUG
This 468-nucleotide ribosomal RNA is filed under the name uncultured bacterium. Its description in RNAcentral is "partial 16S ribosomal RNA". It matches the Rfam family "Bacterial small subunit ribosomal RNA", at positions 28 to 507 of the family's 1533-position model. The record is from RNAcentral.